Molecule: ribosomal RNA, 394 nt
Filed under: uncultured bacterium
Lineage: Bacteria
Description: partial 16S ribosomal RNA
Rfam family: Bacterial small subunit ribosomal RNA
Source: RNAcentral
CCUACGGGUGGCAGCAGUGAGGAAUAUUGGUCAAUGGGCGUAAGCCUGAACCAGCCAAGUCGCGUGAGGGAUGAAGGUUCUAUGGAUCGUAAACCUCUUUUAUAAGGGAAUUAAGUGUGGGACGUGUCCUGUUUUGUACGUCUCUUUUGAUUCAGGCUCGGCUAACUCUGGGCCAGCAGCCGCGGUAAUACGGAGGAUCCGGGCGUUAUUCGGAUUUAUUGGGUUUAAAGGGUGCGUAGGCGGCCUUUUAAGUUAGCGGUGAAAGUCUGUGGUUCAACCAUAGAAUUGCCGUUGAAACUGGGAGGCUGGAGUGUGUUUGAGGCAGGUGGAAUGCUUGGUGUAGCGGUAAAAGGCGUAGAGAUCACGCAGAAUCCUGAUUGCGAAGGCGGCCUGC